This is a long non-coding RNA of Ictalurus punctatus (channel catfish), 1405 nucleotides long. The record is from Ensembl. Lineage: Eukaryota; Metazoa; Chordata; Actinopteri; Siluriformes; Ictaluridae.
GUGAUGAUGGUGAUGAUGAUGGUGAUGGUGAUGGUAAUGAUGGUGAUGAUAUGAUGAAGAUGAUGGUGGUGGUUGUGAUGGUGGUGGUCAUGAUGGUGAUGAUGUGAUGAAGAUGAUGGUGGUGAUGUGAUGAUGAAGAUGAUGAUGAUGGUGGUGGUGAUGUGGUGAUGAUGAUGGUGGUGGUGGUGAUGAUGCUGAUGAUGAUGAUGGUGGUGGUGAUGUGAUGAUGAUGAUGAUGAUGGUGAUGAUGUGAUGAAGAUGGUGGUGGUGAUGGUGGUGAUGUGAUGAUGAAGAUGAUGGUGAUGUGAUGAUGAAGAUGAUGAUGGUGGUGGUGGUGGUGAUGAAGAUGUGAUGAUGUGAUGAUGAAGAUAAUGGUGGUGGUGGUGAUGUGAUGAUGAAGAUAAUGGUGGUGGUGGUGAUGUGAUGAUGAAGAUGACGGUGGUGGUGGUGGUGAUGUUAUGAUGAAGAUGGUGGUGAUGGUGGUGAUGAUGUGAUGAUGGUGAUGGUGGUGGUGGUGAUGUGGUGAUGAAGAUGAUGAUGUGAUGAUGAAGAUAAUGGUGGUGGUGGUGAUGCGAUGAUGAAGAUGAUGAUGUGAUGAUGAAGAUGAUGGUGAUGGUGAUGAUGUGAUGAUGAAGAUGAUGGUGGUGAUGAUGUGAUGAUGAAGAUGUGAUGAUGAUGAUGGUGAUGAUUAGACAAUUAGACGGUUUUUUAAUUGCUUCUCAUUGUCACUAUAGAAACGAUAAUGUGUUGGAAGGAGCGCGUUAAUGUGAGCCUGCGCCGCUGCCGGAGCUGCUGUUAUCUGUCCAAUCAGAAUCCAGAAUUGAACAGCACGGUUGUAUAAACAGCUUCGGAAAGACGCGAUGAUUAAAAAUAACGCUCCGUACGCGCUGCAGCUGCUCGCGUCUGUGCAAGCCGUCAGUUUGGGUUUUGCUCCAAAUUCGACGUUAACAAAAACAAGCCGUACGCCUUUAGAGCGGCGUUCUGCAGGAAUAAACGCAACCCCACUGUGCGACAGGAACAGGAUCAUUUGUCAGAGAAUAAAAAAGCUGCAGUUCUGUAAAAUCUUUGGGGUUUUUCUCACUUGGCUCCGGAGGCUGUGGACGCGUUUGGAAGGAAAGACUUCGCACCUGGUGCUGUCUGACUUCAUCUCAGCUUUUUACACUAACGCAUGAGCUCACGGACACCUGACACCACCGCUAUCACGAGGAGAGGAGGAGAGGAGAGGAGAGGAGGAAAAGACAAGAGAAGAGAGGAGGAAAAGACAUGAGAGGAGAGGAGAAGAGAGGAGAGGAGAAGAGGAGAGGAGGGGAGACGAGAGAAGAGAAGAGAGGAGAAGAGAGGAGAAGAGAGGAGAAGAGAGGAGCAGAGAAGAGAGGAGAGGAGAGGAGAGGAGAUGAGAAGAGAG